This 412-nucleotide unclassified non-coding RNA is filed under the name Zea mays. RNAcentral's name for it is "misc RNA Zm00001eb228110". Lineage: Eukaryota; Viridiplantae; Streptophyta; Magnoliopsida; Poales; Poaceae. The record is from RNAcentral.
CUUGCGGCCUGGCCGAUGCAGCCUAAAAUCAGGAGGGAAUCCCGAGGCGGCGGGCCUUCCUCCCUCGGCCUCGACGAUGGAGUGCUCUGGGGGCGCAGCAGGCAGCUUGACGGCGAGGAGGGACGCGGUGGCGGCGCUCCUGCAGACGCUCGCCGUCUUCUCGGCGAUGUCGUGGCGACGGUGGUGGUGACCAUCGCCUGUUGGCAGGUGGUGUUUACCUUGCCAACUGGCAGGCUUGGCUUAGAGAUUUCCAUUAUGUUUUCCGUUUUUUUUACUGUGGCAAGAGUUGUUGAACAGGUAGCUACUAUUUCGAUCAAAGAGUCACACGUGUUUUUUUUAACUUGCUAUAAACAUGGUUUGUAUUUUUGUAUCUUCAUAUAAAUCCGACCGAAGCUACAAAAGCUGAGCAGCU